AGAAAUCGUUAAGGGCGUAUGGCGGAUGCCUAGGCUUUCAGAGGCGACGAAGGACGUGGUAAGCUGCGAAAAGCUGCGGGGAUCGGCACACACGAAUUGAUCCGCAGAUGUCCGAAUGGGGCAACCCGGCUGGUUGAAGACCAGUCAUCCCGAUUUAUCGGGAAGCAAACCCGGAGAACUGAAACAUCUAAGUACCCGGAGGAAAAGAAAUCGAAGAGAUUCCGUAAGUAGUGGCGAGCGAAAGCGGAUUAGCCCAAAAGUCAUUAUAUGUUUAAUAGAAUGUUCUGGAAAGAACGGCCGUAGAGGGUGAUAGCCCCGUACAUGAAAGGCAUAUUUUGAUGAUAAAUGAGUAGGGCGGGACACGUGAAAUCCUGUCUGAAUAUGGGGGGACCAUCCUCCAAGGCUAAAUACUCCUGAAAGACCGAUAGUGAACAAGUACUGUGAAGGAAAGGUGAAAAGCACUUCGAAUAGAAGGGUGAAAGAGAACCUGAAACCGUACGCCUACAAGCGGUCGGAGCCCACAAGUUGGGUGACGGCGUGCCUUUUGCAUAAUGAGCCUACGAGUUAAUUUUACUAGCGAGCUUAAGCACUUCAGGUGCGGAGGCGGAGCGAAAGCGAGUCUGAAUAGGGCGCAUAGUUAGUAGGAUUAGACGCGAAACCUUGUGAUCUACCCAUGGGCAGGUUGAAGCUUUGGUAACACAAAGUGGAGGACCGAACCGGUUGACGUUGAAAAGUCUUCGGAUGACUUGUGGGUAGGGGUGAAAGGCCAAUCAAACUCGGAAAUAGCUCGUACUCCCCGAAAUGCAUUUAGGUGCAGCGCUGGGUAUAAGUUAUAUAGAGGUAGAGCUACUGAUUGGAUGCGGGGGCUUCACCGCCUACCAAUUCCUGACAAACUCCGAAUGCUAUAUAAUGUUUACCAGCAGUGAGGGCAUGGGUGCUAAGGUCCAUGUCCGAGAGGGAAAGAACCCAGACCAUCAGCUAAGGUCCCCAAAUGUAUGCUAAGUUGAAAAAACGAGGUUUGUCUGCCCAGACAGCUAGGAUGUUGGCUUGGAAGCAGCCAUUCAUUUAAAGAGUGCGUAACAGCUCACUAGUCGAGCGGUUCGGCAUGGAUAAUAAUCGGGCAUAAGUAUAGUACCGAAGCUAUGGAUUUAUAACUUUUGAGUUAUAUCUGGUAGGGGAGCAUUCUAUUUGCGCCGAAGCAGUAUCGUGAGGUAUUGUGGAGCGGAUAGAAAAGAAAAUGUAGGCAUAAGUAACGAUAAAGCGGGCGAGAAACCCGCUCACCGAAAGACUAAGGUUUCCUCAGCCAUGCUAAUCAGCUGAGGGUUAGUCGGGACCUAACGCGAACCCGAAAGGGGAAGUGGAUGGACAAUGGGUUAAUAUUCCCAUACUUGCUCACACUAAAAAGGGGACGGAUUUACGUACUUGCUGGAGACUGACGGAAUAGUCAAGGCCUAGCCUUCGGGCGAAGCUGCUGCAGGGAAAUAGAUUCCAAGAAAAGCCGAAGUGAAGCAACCCGUACCAAAACCGACACAGGUAGUCGAGGAGAGAAUCCUAAGGUGCUAGAGUGAAUCAUGGUUAAGGAACUAGGCAAAAUAGUCUCGUAACUUCGGAAGAAGAGACGCCAUCAGCAAUGGUGGCCGCAGUGAAGAGGCCCAGGCGACUGUUUAUCAAAAACACAGGACUCUGCUAAAUCGAAAGAUGCUGUAUAGGGUCUGACACCUGCCCGGUGCUGGAAGGUUAAGGAAGGUUGUUAGCGUAAGCGAAGCAAUUAACUGAAGCCCCAGUAAACGGCGGCCGUAACAAUAACGGUCCUAAGGUAGCGAAAUUCCUUGUCGGGUAAGUUCCGACCUGCACGGAAAUGGCGUAA
RNAcentral lists this ribosomal RNA (1867 nucleotides) under Bouteloua dactyloides. RNAcentral describes it as "bacterial LSU rRNA". It matches the Rfam family "Bacterial large subunit ribosomal RNA", at positions 1 to 2004 of the family's 2925-position model. The record is from RNAcentral. Lineage: Eukaryota; Viridiplantae; Streptophyta; Magnoliopsida; Poales; Poaceae.